GCAGAACGUACAUAACUUCUUGAUAAAACAAACUGCUGUCUAUCUCCCUUUUCGACACUGCAAAAAAAAAAUCGAACAGGCAAUUAAAGAGGGGGUUGCAACCACAUGUUCCCCGUACAAACGGAUCGGAAUUCAAUUCUCAUUCUGUAAACAAAUAUUGUAGGAUAGUUAAGGUAUUUUGGUGUUUUUAAAAGCCCCUCCCCCUUUUUUUUAAUAUACACCACAAAAAAAAAACAUUUAGUUAGGAUAAAGAACUAAUAAACGAUAGUCCUAUAAUGUAAGGCUUCAGAGUUUCAUAUCUUUAAGAUUCAACAUGUUUAUCGGAUUGUUUUUUACUAUCAAUGUUGAACCGUUAAUUUUUAUCGGAUUUUUUUUAACUACCAAUGUUGAACC
This 393-nucleotide long non-coding RNA is filed under the name Mytilus galloprovincialis (Mediterranean mussel). Lineage: Eukaryota; Metazoa; Mollusca; Bivalvia; Mytilida; Mytilidae. The record is from RNAcentral.